AUGGGCACCCGCAUUCUUGAGCUGCCAUCCCCUGCAUCAGCAAUUUCCUCCUGCAGCUUGGGAAUUCCACUUUGUGAGAGGGGAACCCUGAAGCAAGAUCAGGUCUUAGGGACCAAGAAGAGGAAAUUAGAGGCCACGCACCCCUCAGUAGCUGAGAAAGUGGUGUCCCCGGGGCAGGAGGACUCGGUGCUGUCCCAUCGCGGCAUAGGCCGGAGUGAUGAUUCUGACAUCUGGGAAGAUGCAGCACUGAUAAAAGCUUACAAUAAAGCUGUGACUUCAUUUAAGCCUGCUCUAAACAAUGAUGACAUCUCUGAAGGUUCAGAUAAACCAAAAGGCAUACCUAAAGGAAAACCUACUAAGAAGAAUAAAAGCCAAAAAAAGAAGACCACAAUUCCCUUGAAGCAGUAGAAAAUUGGUGACAAUGUUCCGCCAUUUGAUCAGAAGAUGGAUGCAUUUACCCCGCAACCAUUGUUUCAAUUGAUUUUAAGAGAGAAACCUGUGUGGUGGUUUACACUGGAUAUAGAAAUAGAGAGGAGCAAAAUCUGUCCCAUCUACUUUCCCCAACGUCUGAAGUAACUAACAAUAUAGAAGAGAAUGCCCAAGAGAAUGAAAAUGAAAGUCAAAUUUCAACAGAAGAAAGUAAGAGCUCCUCCAGGUCUUCUGGAAAUAAACCAAAUAAUAUCAAGUCAAAAGUGGCUCCAUGGAACUCUUUUCUCCCUCCACCACCCCCGAUGCCAGGAUCAGGACGGGGACCAGGAAAGCCAGCACCACCACCACCACCAGUAUGUCCAGAUUCUAUUGAUGAUGCUGAUGCUUUGGGAAGUACGUUAAUCUCUUAGUAUAUGAAUGGUUACUAAGCUGGUUACUAUAUGGGUUUCAAACAAAAUCAGAAAGAAGGAAGAUGCUCACAUUUUAAUUAA
Rhinolophus ferrumequinum (greater horseshoe bat) is the source of this 920-nucleotide RNA transcript. It is a transcript of the gene named survival motor neuron protein-like, with no coding region annotated. Lineage: Eukaryota; Metazoa; Chordata; Mammalia; Chiroptera; Rhinolophidae. The record is from RefSeq and is a predicted model, not a curated record. The transcript has 4 exons.